This is a long non-coding RNA of Oryctolagus cuniculus (rabbit), 2088 nucleotides long. Lineage: Eukaryota; Metazoa; Chordata; Mammalia; Lagomorpha; Leporidae. The record is from Ensembl.
GAGGGCUGUGCCCAAGACUGCUCACUCGCCCAGCCCCACCCAGAGACUGGUCCCCUUCUUGCCACAGAACCCUAACUUUCCCGUGCAGUGGACAUCUGAGCUCCUGACCUCCGGCAGACCCCACAUGUGGCAAUCACCCCAGCUCUGGGCCAACAGCCCCAGGGGAGGCCCAGGAGCCUGCGCCUGACCUCACGCACGUGCAACCUGCUGGAGGAAGUGAGCACAAACACACGUCCUGCCUGGGCAGAAAGUGCGAAGCCAGGUGAGCAGAGUAGCUGGACAGAAAUCCACACCAACACCCACGGAGUGGCCCUGGGGUAAAGGAACAGCCUGGGCACAGAGAGGACACUGUCCAGUGACCGAGGGGCCAGCGAAAGGGGAUGGACCCAGCUAGAAAGCUGCAAAAUGCGCAAGGCCAAGGCCAGUAAAAUGUCAAGGACAAAAUGUCCCCCCGACUCUGCAAGGGGAACUGGGAGACCACGCCCUGCAGAACACCCCUCUCCCCCUGCAGGGGGAACACUCACAGGGAGACCACGCCCUGCAGAACACCCCUCUCCCCCUGCAGGGGGAACACUCACAGGGAGACCACGGCCUGCAGAACACCCCUCUCCCCCUGCAGGGGGAACACUCACAGGGAGACCACGGCCUGCAGCUCAGAACACCCCUCCCCCUGCAGGGGGAACACUCACAGGGAGACCACGGCCUGCAGCUCAGAACACCCCCUCCCCCUGCAGGGGGAACACUCACCGGGAGACCACGCCCUGCAGCUCAGAACACUCCUCACAAACCUUCAAAAAACAGAACUCAGACAAAGCAUGUUCUCCGACACAAAGGAAUUAAACUAUAAGGAUAUCUGGAAAAACUCCAAAUAUUUGGAAAGCCACUUACUUGUACAUAACCGUGGCUCAAAGAGAAAAGUCUCAAAGAAAUUUUUAAAAUAUUUUAAUUGUAGGAAAAUGAAAAUGCAAACACAUCAGACUUUGUGGGAUUCAACUAAACAGGACUCUGCGGAAACUGACAGCACUGAGUGUUCACGUAGGAAAAGUAGACCUCGUGGAACCAAGAGUCAGGCAGAAGCAGAGAAAUAAUGAGAAGUACAAAAUCUAAAGCAUAAAAUUGUAGGGAAAAAUCAAUGAAACCAAAAGCUGCCUCUUUGAAAGGAUCCGCAACAUUGAUAAACCCCUAGCCAACACCAGCCAAGAAAUGGAGGAGACGCGAGUUGCCCAAAUCAGGAAUAAGAGGGCGCCGCACCGCCGCACGUGCCGCAGGCGUGAGGAGGCAAGCAAGGGGAUGCUGCUGAGGGCUGACCUAAGCCCCGCCCCGGCCUCCACGGAGGAGGUGCCCGGGGUUCGCCUGAUACAACCCACACCGUCACAGGAAGAGACAGCAGGGCCCUGGACCGUCUGCCAGCCGGCAAGACAGCCCGCCCCCGCCAGCACCCCGACCCCACCUCCCAGGCCCAGAACCGUGAGAACACGUCCAUUCCUUGACAGUCAGCCUGCGGGACUUGCCACGCAGCCCAGGAGCACCAACACAGAACUCGUGCUGCCCCCACACUGCGAAGUAAACGUGCAGAAGCAACCGAUCAAUUUCCUAAAGCCCACGAAACCCACCUGAGAAACCGCGAGCAACCUGGACAGUCUGUCUCCGUCCCAGGAAGAGACCCUCCGGGAUGGCUUCACUAGUACAUCCCACUGUGUAGAGAAGGAACGACACCAGUUAUCUGCAGGCUUUGGUAUGAAUUUAGGAAAAACUGAAAGAUAACAGCUGAUGGACUGCACUGCCCCGGAAGCCAUGGCCAAGUCGCCACGGGGACGGCAGACGAGCACCUCGUGAACACUGACCAGCAACGCAGUGAGCCACACAGGCGGCAGGUCCCAGCCACGCGCUUUCACCCAAGGCUCAGGGCUGCUUUAGCACACCAGGAACCCAGGGAAUUACUAAAAACCAAAGAAAAAUGCACACGAUCACCUCAGUAUGUGCAAAAACUCAUCCGACGAAACCCAAACCCACCCACGAUAACUUAAAGCCUUCACCUAGCUAAGAACAAAAGCAGACGUUUAACCCGGCGGGCCUGCGGCGGGCGUC